GCUAGCAAACUUUUCUAGAUCAUCAUCCAGUUUACUGUGGUCCAAAAGGAAAGAUGUAUCAUCAGUUGGAAAGAACGAAACAUCUGCACCUAAAUUUGCAUUGGGAGUCAAAGAAUUACUAUUUCUUCCCCCACCGAUACUUUUAUUGUAAGGACUCAUAAGUUUUUCAGGUUCGUCUUUAGCAGAGACUUCCGCGAUCCAGCGCUGCCACGCCAUGAAACCAGAUUGGCUAGUAUUCCCAUUACCGUCAGAGCGAGCUCCUUUGAGAUGAGCAUCAAAGAGUCGAAUAACUCUAGCACAAUUCUUGGCAGCUUCAUUCCCUUCUGCCAUAUAGUCGAGAGCUGAGUAAGCAUACUGCAUUGCUAUGUCAUCUUCUUCACAAGGUUCGGUAACACAGUGAAGCAAAACCACCAGCGCACUUGAGAAGGUAUAAUUAUAGUCAAAGAAAGAGUAACAAGAGAGUUGAGAAUGAUUCUGAAGUAAAUGUACGAGUGAAAUUAAGUGCCUGGCAGCUAAAAUGCAGUCUUCAUUGAUACGAUCGACACGCGGAGAAUUUUUUGCAUUUUUCAUUUUAUGUAGUAAAACAGGUCGAGACAUGAUGAUAAUAGCUUGGUCAUAUGUCAUGUGUAAAUGCACAUUUGCACGAAAAAGUGGGUCUUCAGCAUCAAGAUUUUCCAAAAUCUGAAAUGGUGGUAAAGAACGCUUCCAUUCUUCAAGAUCGGCGCGAAGGGAUUCAAUUAUGUUUAUUGGAUUCUUUUUAUAAUUGACAGUUCCAUAAAGUUGUUCCAUAGUUUUUCCCAUUAUUUUCGCAAUUUUAGACAUAGAUAUGAUAUUAUGAACGUUGGAAGCAGAACCUUCUAUUUCCAAUUCAGGCACUACUGUUGGUAAUGCCGCAUCACAUUCGCUGUCCGCAAUAGAAAGUGGACGUCCUGUAGCAAUACUGAUUAAGCGAUCCAUGGUAUAAACCGACCACCAUAGGCGAUUACGAAGUUCUUUGGUCUUGGGAUCAAUAUUUGGAUUUUCACAGCUACGAUGCAACCCGUUUGCGACAGCAGCAGAUAAAGAAAGUCCGAAGUAAGUAUAGGAACUCUUUUGGGAAAGUGUAGACUGAAGAUACAACCCCAUAAGUAUGGAAGCCUGAACCAAGCUUGGUUUGCAUUGCUGAAUUACUUGUGGUAACAAAAGCCUAGCAGUAUCAAAAAACUGUUUUCCUGGGUUGUCAAAAGGAUUGCUAGCAGAACGAAUUUCCAUGUGAGCAAACAUACUACCAAGUGCAAAGAUCAUCAUUAGCAAGCAAAGAAAGCCAGGGUCAACGGAUGGAUUUUGGAAGCUCAUGAUAAGGUUUAAACGAUAACGAAGUAAUGUUUCAUGGAAAAAGAAAAAAUUUGCUUGAACAUGGCCAUAGAAAGAUUUGAUAAGAAAAUCUGAAACUUCAGGAGGAGGGAGAAGACUCAGCGCUUUUUGAACAGCAUUUACAUCAUGUUCAUUCGGAGGAUAACUGUGAUGGGUAUGGGAAUACGCGCUCAGCUCGGAAAAAGAAGGAUCGACAAGUAGUUCACUUUGAACAGAGUCAACGAAUGCUUCACCAGCAGAAGCUCCUAUAUAACGGGAUUCGCCGUUAGAGUCAACUUUUAUUUUUCCAAUUAAUUUCAUGAUUUCGUCAACGCUUUGAUCGCUAGCAUCAGCAUUGAUUCCAUUGUUCGUAUCCUCUGCUACGACCGUUGGAUCUUGCUGAAUUUGUGAACAAACAAGUGCACCUUGUGUAAGGGUAUCCACGUCACGUUGACUAUUGGUGCUUUCACUAUUGAGGGAAAAGACAUCUGAAGAUAAUAGUGAUUUUUGGUUGCUUAUACGAUUGCAAACUUCAAUCAAUGAAGGUGUAGUAUAAGUCGAAACUUUGGUGGAACAAAGACGUUCAACAAUAUAUUCUAAACACUUGUAUCUUUUUGAAAGAUCAAUAAAGUAGUCCUUAGAAUAAUCCAUUUCUUUUUCAUCCUUUACUGGAUAUGUGCAUUCCAAAUUAUUGGAAGCACAAGCUUUGCAUGGGUUUGCCCCGUCGCAACGAACUUUCCGGGCUUUGCAGUUAAAGCAGGCUAGAACCACCCUUCUUCGUCUCUCCAUAGGAACACGACGUCUCCUAUUAUGCUGCUCCUGCUUCAUGGCUUCGAACAGAACCGCCGUAUUUUCAGGUGAAAAUUCAUGGCUCAUU
Schizosaccharomyces pombe (fission yeast) is the source of this 2209-nucleotide non-coding RNA. The record is from the annotation of a GenBank genome assembly. NCBI's taxonomy places the organism in Eukaryota, Fungi, Ascomycota, Schizosaccharomycetes, Schizosaccharomycetales, Schizosaccharomycetaceae.